CGAAAACCUUACCUACCCUUGACAGUGGAAGGAAUCCCUGAGAGAUUGGGGAGUGCCCGAAAGGGAACCUUUACACAGGUGCUGCAUGGCUGUCGUCAGCUCGUGUCGUGAGAUGUUGGGUUAAGUCCCGCAACGAGCGCAACCCUUGUCAUUAGUUGCUACGCAAGAGCACUCUAAUGAGACUGCCGGUGACAAACCGGAGGAAGGUGGGGAUGACGUCAAGUCCUCAUGGCCCUUAUGGGUAGGGCUUCACACGUCAUACAAUGGUACAUACAGAGGGCCGCCAACCCGCGAGGGGGAGCUAAUCCCAGAAAGUGUAUCGUAGUCCGGAUUGUAGUCUGCAACUCGACUACAUGAAGUUGGAAUCGCUAGUAAUCGCGGAUCAGCAUGUCGCGGUGAAUACGUUCCCGGGUCUUGUACACACCGCCCGUCACACCAUGGGAGCGGGUUUUACCAGAAGUAGGUAGCUUAACCGCAAGGAGGGCGCUUACCACGGUAGGAUUCGUGACUGGGGUGAAGUCGUAACAAGGUAGGCGUAGCGAG
RNAcentral lists this ribosomal RNA (543 nucleotides) under uncultured bacterium. RNAcentral's name for it is "bacterial SSU rRNA". It matches the Rfam family "Bacterial small subunit ribosomal RNA", at positions 963 to 1509 of the family's 1533-position model. The record is from RNAcentral.